CUCUUUUAGGAACAAUGUGUUCAGAGAGUCAGACAUUAAAAGGAAUUCUCAAGAAAAACAAGGUUGAACCUUUGGGAAAUUACUUCAGUAAAAGACUGUGAAGGAGGGCAGUAACAGUUCCCAAUUGAAGGGACUUUCUGAAGAGAAAUCUGAGCAGAGUUUACCUUGCUCCUGUAGCCCCGUGUCUGAAUUGUGGCCAAGGGGCCAAACCCAUGAUGUAGCAUCAUCUACUGAGGUAGAAGUUUUGAAAUCUGCAACUUUGGAUGGAGUACCCAUUCCCUGGAAAAGUCUUUGA
RNAcentral lists this long non-coding RNA (295 nucleotides) under Monodelphis domestica (gray short-tailed opossum). RNAcentral describes it as "lncRNA (ENSMODG00000040748.1)". Lineage: Eukaryota; Metazoa; Chordata; Mammalia; Didelphimorphia; Didelphidae. The record is from RNAcentral.